This is a non-coding RNA of Mycena metata, 84 nucleotides long. The record is from the annotation of a GenBank genome assembly. NCBI's taxonomy places the organism in Eukaryota, Fungi, Basidiomycota, Agaricomycetes, Agaricales, Mycenaceae.
GACCAGAUAGCACAGUGGUUAGUGCGCGGAUGUUCGAUCAGCAGUAUUCGAUCCGCUACCCUCGUUCGACUCGGGGUCUGGCCU